UGGAGCCUUCUUCAGGUGUGAGCCUUCUUCAGACUUUAUUAAUUACCAACAUUAUUGUAACUACUGUACACCAUGUGCUGAAAUAAUGCUGUUUUGAUUGUGUCUUUUAGGGCUAUCAUUUCUUUUUUGUACCAAGGACUGUGUACCAGACUUUUAUUUUUGCUCGCCAGAUGUGUCAAUAGAUUUGAAGCGGAUUGUGAUCCAGAUUAUAACAACUUGUAAAGGUGUCGAUAGUCCCCAUGUGAAACCAGUUCUCUGUGAAUAUGAAGACCAUCUCUGACUACCUUCAAGUGCGUCCCUAAAACUGAGAUUUUGUGAUCUUUUCGUCUUAAAUCAGAAGGCCUGCACUACUUCAAAUGGAUAACAAACUACAGACAAUUUACAAGACUUGUUUUUUUAACUCUCUUCUCUAUAUCAGGCAGGGUCCAUGAGUGUACAUCCUUCAACUCAUUUACUAUACUGUAGCUUGCAUUUGUUCUUCUUUCUACUUGUACUGCAAUCGGUUUAUACAGCACAGUACUUCAAAGAACUCUGUCAUUGAGCUGUCUCAUUUCUUUUUUUACUUAUCAGCAAAUAUGUUCUUGAAUGUGAAUUGCCUAGGAUCAUCCAAGCAAUCAGAAAGUAAAUAAUAAAUGCAAAUAAAAGUCAGAAUUCUAACACUGCAAAAAAGCACGUGAUCAACAUAUUGUCUCAGAUCAAAUAACUAUGGGUUUCACAGAGUCUUGGCUUAUGGUAUGUUUUUUGGGGGUUUGGUUUAGAGUAUAUUAUACUUUGUACAAAACGUAAUACAACCAUGAGAUACAGUAUGUCAACAGUACUCUGUGUAGAAAAUGAAUUAUUAUGUUUCCAAUGGAGGUCCAAUGCUUGUAAUACCGGUGCUGUUUACGACUGCAAUCACAUUUUCUGAUGAGCUAACCCUGCUGGCUCUUGUGUCCUGGGAUCACUUCUAGACUGGGUGUUCUUUUUCUGUAUGUAGUUUGCAUGUUCUCCUCGUGUUCAUGUGACCUUUCUCUGGAUAAUAUCCCAUUACCUCUACUGUAUACAGUAUGUCCAGGUCUCAAGCCUUCAAUUACAAGUACCCCUUUUUUACCAUAAACAUCUAAAUGCU
Molecule: non-coding RNA, 1108 nt
Organism: Lepisosteus oculatus (spotted gar)
Lineage: Eukaryota; Metazoa; Chordata; Actinopteri; Semionotiformes; Lepisosteidae
Source: RefSeq, a predicted model, not a curated record